GCCCGGGUUUGCGGGAACAAAGCAGCGCCCUGCGGAAGGCAGCCCUCGUGAACUCAGAAGUUAGUUUUCGUCUCUGGACCUUUUUAUAAUCGGACUUCAGCCCAUCACUGUCUCGUUUUGUCCUCAGAAACGGCGACAGCAGCCUCUUCCCAAUGUUGAGAGCAAAAAGUGUGAACCCAGAAAUUCCGAGACAGAUCUCAAUUACUUGCCAAGGUUGAGGACGCGCGCGUGACAGCCUCAGGAAGUCCUCACGACAUGUGCCCAAGGUGGUCUGGGCAUAGCUUAGUUUUAUACAUUUUAUGGAGACAUGAGACAUCAAUAAAUGUAUGUAAGAAGUACAUUGGUUCUGUUUGGAAAGGCGGGGCAACUUGAAGCAAAGGCAGGAAGACGUGAAGCAGGAAGGGGGCUUCCAAGAAACAGAAGAGACAAGUGAACAUUUAUUUUUAUGUCUUUCUUCCUAUGUGUAUUUCAAGUCUUUUUCAAAACAAGGCCCCAGGACUCUCCAGAUUCAAUUAUGUCCUUGGGCUUGGUCGACUGCUGCAGGAGUCUUAAGGAGCCUUGUGCAAAUGCUAGAGUGACUCAUUUACCAACAUUAAACCCUAGGAUAGAUGCAACAGAGAAGUACUACUUCCUCCAUGGAAUGUGCUGAUUUCAGGCGACGUGGCACCCAAUGUAGAAAACGCUGGAAUUUUUCCUUGGAACUGGACUGUGAUGAGAGGUGCUUGCCAUGAACAUAAGCUACUGUCUUUUUUUUCUUUUUUUGAGACGGACUUUCACUUUUUUUGCCCAGGCUGGAGUGUAAUGGCGCGAUCUUGGCUCACCGCAACCUCCGCCUCCCAGGUUUGAGUGAUUCUCCUACCUUAGCCUCCUGAGUAGCUGGGAUUACAGGCGUGCGCCACCAUUCCCAGCUAAUUUUUGUAUUUUUAGUAGACACAGUGUUUCUCCAUGUUGGUCAGGCUGGUCUCAAACUCCUGACCUCAGGUGAUACGCCCGCCUCAGCCUCCCAAAGUGUUGGGAUUACUGGCGUGAGGCAUCGUGCCCAGCAAGCUACUGUCUUUUCUUUGACCCUUUCCAGUUUUUGAAGAUAAAGCAGGAAAUAAUCUUCUCUGAAAGUACUUGAUAAAAAUUCCCAAAACAACAAAAA
Molecule: long non-coding RNA, 1144 nt
Filed under: Homo sapiens (human)
Lineage: Eukaryota; Metazoa; Chordata; Mammalia; Primates; Hominidae
Description: ZNF747 divergent transcript (ZNF747-DT)
Source: RNAcentral